UCUGAUAUAAACAAAAACUUUUCCAGAUUAUCAGAUGGGACCUUUGAUUGUUUCCUCGUUUUAACCAGUUUAGUUAUUUUUAUGAAUUAAAUAACAAAUGUUCUAAAGGAUCCGACAUAAAAAGAAAAUCAGCGGCUAAGAUAACGUUUCAUCAUCGGGAUCAGAAUACGUAUCCGAUUUCCUGUCCAAUGCUCCUGAAUGGGGACACACCAGGAUAAUGAAAACCGGCUCUAGAGAUUGCGGCAUAUUGUUGAGCCGCCUUCCGGUUCCUAAAAUAAUCAUUCUGGCUUAGCAAUGGAGAGCAAAUCUGAUAAGUACCAGGAAGUGAAUGGCUCGGUUUCAAUAUUGUUGGCUGUAUAUUGGCAAGACAUGAACAAAGUUGAGUUUCUAGUUUACCAGUUAUCAUGUAGCAUGAGCUAUCCAGGAAUAGGAAUAAUGAUGAGUAAAAACGUUAUACCAAGUAGAAGCAGUAGAAGGAGUCAUCACUCCAGUAGAAGUAACCCAGUUGUGAGCGACGUAUACACAUAAGAAAAAUCCUACGUCGCUAGCUGUUCUUUCAUGAAUAGAAUAAGAAUACUGGGCACUAUUAGCUACUUUCGCGAAUAAAUAGCAAUUAAAAUAUCCUUGAAAAUUUGAACAACUCCUAAUAUUCAAACAAUCUGGUCCAGUCAAAGGGCGUAGUUUUCGAAAUAAAAAUGUAAAAUUUAAACUGA
This is a long non-coding RNA of Armigeres subalbatus, 713 nucleotides long. RefSeq lists it as uncharacterized. Lineage: Eukaryota; Metazoa; Arthropoda; Insecta; Diptera; Culicidae. The record is from RefSeq and is a predicted model, not a curated record. The transcript is spliced from 2 exons.